AUGACUUUACAAUUUGAGCAUAAUAAUUUUUACAGAAAAGAGCUUAAAGAACAAAAAAGUUUUAUGGAGUUUAUGAACAAAGAGCUUGAUGAUAUGUAUAAAGAAUUUUAUGAUUUUAACUCCCAAAUUACUCGGCUUGAAAAUUCUAUAGCUCAAAUUUCUCAUAAGCAAGCUACCUUAGUCAAUAAGAUGGCUGCGAGACCAGAAAAAUUAGGUGAAAAUAAUGAUGAAGAUCUUAAAGUUAUUGAUGUAUCCCCUAUUAGAUCUUUGUUUUGCAAUAUGAAUCUUGAUAAUGAUGGGACUAGAGAUGAGUCUACUUUAUUUAAAAGGCGUCCCAAUAAUUCGGAUUUUUUAGAUCUUGAUGCUAAAUUUGGUAAAAGUGGGAUUGGAGAGGUCAAGACUUUAUAUAGCAUUGAACCCACUAUCUUGGAUUUCAAGGAAUUUAAUUAUGAUAAUUGUUCUUUAGUUGAUUGUAUUUCCUUGUUGCAAUCCGUGUUGAAUUCUCCUCAUGUUUAUAGUCAAAAUAAAGCCUUUACCAAACAUAUUGUUGAUGCCUUGAUGCAAUCUUUUGAUGAAAAACUUAAUUUGGAAGUUUAUAUACCUAGAAAACUUAAUGAUGAGUGGGAACCUACUAUAAAGAUUAAAAUUAAAGAUUAUGAGUGUUUUCCUUUAUGUGAUUUGGGUGCUAGUGUUUCCACAAUUCCGAAAACUUUAUGUGAUAUUCUAGGUUUCCAUGAUCUUGAUGAUUGCUCUUUAAAUUUGCACCUUGCGGAUUCCACCAUUAAAAAUACAAUGGGAAGAAUCAAUGAUUUCCUCAUUGUUGCAAAUAGAAAUUUGGUUCCCUUGGAUUUUAUCGUUCUUGAUAUAGAUUGCAAUCGUUCUUGUCCUAUUAUUCUUGGUAGACCUUUCCUUAGAACUAUUGGCGCGAUUAUUGAUAUGAAGGAAGCGAAUAUUAGAUUCCAGUUUCCAUUAAGGAAAGGCAUGGAGCACUUUCCAAGAAAGAAAAUUAAAUUACCUUAUAAAUCUAUCAUGCGAGCUACUUAUGAAUCAAGUGUCAAAGAUGGCACUACUUAG
Molecule: ribosomal RNA, 1074 nt
Filed under: Triticum aestivum (bread wheat)
Lineage: Eukaryota; Viridiplantae; Streptophyta; Magnoliopsida; Poales; Poaceae
Description: partial small subunit ribosomal RNA
Source: RNAcentral